Long non-coding RNA from Acinonyx jubatus (cheetah), 3812 nucleotides. RefSeq lists it as uncharacterized. The record is from RefSeq and is a predicted model, not a curated record. The transcript is spliced from 5 exons. Lineage: Eukaryota; Metazoa; Chordata; Mammalia; Carnivora; Felidae.
GAUAUACAGCCUGGUGCAGAGGUGAUCAAAGUACACAAGGCCUGCAGGCCAAAUCCAACCCACUGCCUGAUUUUGUAAAUACAGGCUUUUUUUAGAACCUGCAGCUGCCCUAAUUCAUUGAUGAAUUGUCUAUGGUGCUUUUGCAUUACAAUAGCAGAGGCCCUCUCAGAGCCUUUAAGAAGCCAGUAAGGAAAUCCAGCUGCAUUUCCCUGGAGCCCUGUUGUCAUGGAGUGUCCCCGAUUCUGGGAUGCAUGUACCUGAGGGCAUAUGAAGACUUCUCAAGGGAUACAGUCAGCAGUGUUCGUGGAGCCCCUACGCUGUCCCAGACACCAUCCUAGAAGCAGGAAAUACAGCGAGGAACAAGACAGGCAACCGGGGAGGAAGGCUCUCCUCUGCGACACGUGAAAAGUCCAGCUGAUGUCCAUUUUCCCCUGUGCAAGUCAUUAGCACACAGAGCCACCAAUGUCAAGUCCUUCCACUGACCACACACCACAUCAUCAAGAAUCCAGGAACUCUUUGCAGCCAGGACUCUAUCUCAGUGACCUCCAUGCCCCAGUUCUAUGUUUCUCCCUCUAAUGUGCAUCUGAAUCAGCUGAGGAUUCAGUGGGUCUGGGGAAGAGCCUGAAAUGUGGAAUUUCUAGCAGAUGCUGCUGGCCUCAGGCCUGAGCACAAUGCCUGGACUUGGAAAAUGCAGAUGCUUGGAAAACGUUUGUGUGUAAGCAUCCACCUGUGGGGGCGAUGCCAUGCCUUACUCCUCGGGCCACCUGCCUCAACAGCUGUCCUUUAGUUUCACAACUUAAACACGGUAACACAGAGGAUCUGACGUGCAUGGGGACACAAUUAGUAAAGCUUGCUUAUCACAAGGACCCGGUUAGAAGAGAGGGUAAUGACAGUGUGAGGAGAGAUGGCAGAGGGUUCACCAUUAACAGGAGAACACAAUCGGUUAGGAUGUUAAGACUAAGCCACCUGUGAUGGUAAGGGACCUUCCUGCCCCUGAAGAUGCCCCACCGCAGGACUCUCAGUGAGGGAGCGACAUCAGCAGCAUCACCCCCACCUCAUUCCCCAAAGCCAGGUGGAUCCCCUCUUAAGCUUCAGAGAAGUGAACCAUGGCUGGCCUCACAAACACCGUGGGGCCUCUGCACCAAGGCAGUGGACUUAGUGUCCCACUCCUGUUGUCUUGGGGCACCCCACCUUCACAUGUCUCCAUGUAUAUACAAUUAACAUCAGUAACCUCUCCACUAUUAGAAAAAAUGAUAAUAAUCAGGAGCUUGCGUAUGAAUCUAGGAGGCAUUAUGAGUGUCUACCACAGCGAUUGUCUACUCUGGCAGCCCAUUAGAACUGGAAGCUUGAGGGGCACCUGGGUGGCUCAGUCCAUUAAGCGUCCGACUUUGGCUCAGGUCAUGAUCUCACGGCUGGUGGAUUCGAGCCCCCGCUGGGCUCUGUGCUAACAGCUCCGAGCCUGGAGCCUGCUUCAGAUUCUGUGUCUCUCCCUCUCUGUCCCUCCCAUGCUCGCUCUCUCUCUCUCUCCCUCUCUCUCAAAAAUAAACACUAAAAAGAAAUUAAAAGAACUGGGAGCUUGAGUGAAAACGUAUGCCCAGUGUCACCUCCAGAGAGUGUGCCGUAAUCAGUCCGGGAGGGGACCUGAGUAUCGCACGAGGUCUUUAGGGAAAAUGGCCACAUCAGCUGCACCGUCCGAAGAAACUGGGACGUUGUUGCUUAUCAAUUCCUUCCCUCAGGCCAGCAACACAUUAGGUUGAAGUGUCUCUAGCCAUUUUAGGAGAAUUGCAAAUUUUCAAAGAAAGUAGCUUUAAUUCUUUGUAGUUUAUAAUGUGACUGUGUUAAAGCUGCUUUUGAGGGAAAAGUACUAGAUUCUAGAAAAGCUCCAGCGUGGGCAACACGUGAGGCCUGGCCGUGAGGGGCGCCUUCCCCAGGCACCUGAAAAUAUGGGGAAUAAUGUUUCAACUGAGGCUGAAACUAAUAAAAUCCACAUAUAAUGGAUAUGAUUAAGCAGCCAUGAAAUUGUAAGCAUGUGACUAUGAAGUUUUCUUUGGUAUCGUUGGUAAAAUACUUAUUGAAAAAAUAAAAUAUUUCCAAAAUAAAAGAAGUUACUUUGAAAAGAGUGAUAUGAGGUAAGAACACAAAGUCUCUCAUUUCUAUGCCCUCUCUCACUCCCCAUCCCUGCUUCUUGUCCUUCACCAGGAGCCACACUGCUGGCCUGGAAAGGAAUGAAGGAGUAUUCAACCUGAAAGUUGGUCCGAGUUAGUACCUCUGUUAAUGAGGAAGAUGCUUUUGGAUAACACCUAUUCUUAUUCCGAGAAAUAGAACUAAUGCUAUGGAAAGUGUCAUUAAGUACCAACAAAAAUAAUGUCAAACAUACGUACCUAUUUGGAAAGGCUGGAGAAAAAAAGGAGGAGAAGAACAGAAGAAUAGCUAAAAUACAGAAGACAAAUGUAAACAAGCAGGGACAAAUAGUGGCUUGGUACUGUGUGCCAGGUACUGUAGAUGUAUUAUUUUAAACAAUUCUCAAAUGAGCCCAACGAGGUGGGGGUCAUUACUGACAUCUCUUGAACAAGGUCUCUUUUGUGUAGCGGCAGCUGAAUCAAGAUCUUUCCCCACUCAGGCAAUUUAGAUCAUUUCCAGUUUUGGUGUCAGGAAGAGGAGGGCACACUGGGUGCCCGCAUGCUGGCUGUUCCUGGGGAAGGAGAGGACCAGGGGUACAUCAUGGAAGUGGAGCCCCAAGAAGCAAGGAAGCUGGGCCCUGAGUGAGCACAGGAAAAACCGACGAAAGGCCAGGGACACCCACACUGUGUGAAGAAGCAAGAAACAAACAUUUACUCAUUCAUUCACUUAUUCAUUCAUUCAUCCAUUCAUUCAGAAACCACUUACAGAGAUUUGCUAUGUGCCAGGCACUAUUCUAAAGGCUUUGUAAAUAUUAGCUCGUUUAAUACGACAUGGCCCUCAUUCUACAGAUGAGGAAACUGUCACCCAAACAAGUGUGAAGCUACUGAUUAGGAGUUUUAUUUAUGGCGGCAGUGAGGUAACCCUCACGAACGUAGAGUCACUAUGUAGAUAUUUUCUAUUCAGACUUAAAGGACUAACUUUGUCAAGAAGUUGACAAAGCCCGGAAUAGUGACUUAAAAACAUUAGAAGUGAGGUCCAAAAGACAUCUCCCAUUCUGCUGUGUCUCAGCUCAGAACAUUUACGACAAGGAUGAGUUCAUUCGGAUGGUGUGGAGGAGUGUAAUACGUGGACUGCUUGCUAAUGAUCUUUUUGAAGGUAUCUAUGUAGCUUUAUUUAUGAAAUCUCUUGUGAAAGUCACCGUCUUUUCAGCAAAAUGAAUAAGUUGAUCACUGGGAUUCUGGUGCCUGCGUCUUCUCAUCUGUCGGAUGAAAGACAGGGACUGAUGAGCUUGGAAGAGUACCUUCCAGAAUCAACAUUAAGUGUCAACAUUCAACUUCCCGCGUGGAGGCCGUCUCAACACAGGAACUUUAAUUUAAACUGAGAGCAAUCGCUUUUCAUAAACAGCUCACAGACUCAUGGCCGAAUCCGAGCCUCUGAUCCCGGCCUCAGCUCAGAGCCUGGAGAAGACAUGAAGGGUCUGUGUAAGAACGGGAGCAUAGGUACUGAUUCCCCCUAAGGUAAAAAGAUUGUAAACUACACUUUAAGUUGGCUGUUGUUUAAAGAUCACACGUGCUGUAUGGUUUUACAAUAAAUAAAGAGAAAUAACACAGUGAAUAAAUAAGUGAGCCAUUUUCCUUGGCUGCAAGGCUGCAGCACCGCUGUCUCCUAUUUCUAAGAGAAAACAUAUCAGA